GUUGAGGUGGCCGAGUGGUUAAGGCGAUGGACUUGAAAUCCAAUGGAAUCUUCCCGCACAGGUUCGAGCCCUGCUCGCAACG
Non-coding RNA from Nematostella vectensis (starlet sea anemone), 82 nucleotides. The record is from Rfam. Lineage: Eukaryota; Metazoa; Cnidaria; Anthozoa; Actiniaria; Edwardsiidae.